This 314-nucleotide long non-coding RNA is filed under the name Populus tremula. Its description in RNAcentral is "long non-coding RNA (PTRE_LNC001382)". Lineage: Eukaryota; Viridiplantae; Streptophyta; Magnoliopsida; Malpighiales; Salicaceae. The record is from RNAcentral.
UUUCCACCAAGUCAGAAUUGGAAGGUCCAUUGGAGUAUCAAGAGGAGAUCCUAGUACAUCUUAUCCGUGAGCAAGAGGGGUCCAAUAGAACCUUAUUGGGCCAUGAGAUGAGGACAGCAAAGGAAACAAAAGAAUCCUACUACAACUUGGAAACAACAUGGUGGCUACCUUUUCCUUUUGUUUCUAGGAUUAAAGGGCUGCAUGGAAGGCUAUAAAUAAGCCUUCAAUCAGUUCUGUACUAUUUUAGUUCAUUCUCUUCUUCUCAUGGCAGAACAUGGAUUUAAUAUUAGGGGCUUUAUUUUAUUUUGUUAGCU